UGGAAUGUAGCUCAGUGGUCGAGGGCUUGCCUAGCAGGUGCCAAGUCCUGAAUUCAAUCCCCAGCAAUGCAA
This 72-nucleotide transfer RNA is filed under the name Marmota monax (woodchuck). Its description in RNAcentral is "tRNA.Undet". The record is from RNAcentral. Lineage: Eukaryota; Metazoa; Chordata; Mammalia; Rodentia; Sciuridae.